CGCUAAAAUACCGGUUGCCGUAGAUUCAGCGAAGUUAAGCUCCAUUGAGCCUGGUCAGUACCUGGAUGGGUGAUCACUUGGGAAUACCAGGUGAUGUAAG
This is a non-coding RNA of Acanthosepion pharaonis, 100 nucleotides long. The record is from the annotation of a GenBank genome assembly. Lineage: Eukaryota; Metazoa; Mollusca; Cephalopoda; Sepiida; Sepiidae.